UGUUCCUAAUUGUAGAGGAGAUGCAUUCAGU
RNAcentral lists this non-coding RNA (31 nucleotides) under Rattus norvegicus (Norway rat). The record is from RNAcentral. Lineage: Eukaryota; Metazoa; Chordata; Mammalia; Rodentia; Muridae.